This 215-nucleotide unclassified non-coding RNA is filed under the name Hevea brasiliensis (rubber tree). Lineage: Eukaryota; Viridiplantae; Streptophyta; Magnoliopsida; Malpighiales; Euphorbiaceae. The record is from RNAcentral.
AUUUGCUCGCAGUGAACUCAGCUUAAGGGGAGCUUCGCCCACUCAAGGGACGAGUUCAAUGGGCGGUGAAACUCAAGGGACUUGACAUUGACCUCAUUCAAUAGUACUUCUCUUCUUGAGAAUAUGCCUCUCUAUUUGUUUAGGGCGAAAAGAUUGAAACCCAGAUUGUGAAACUUAGGAUGCAUCCUUUUUGUUUCCAAAAAAAAAAAAAAAAA